Molecule: ribosomal RNA, 249 nt
Filed under: uncultured bacterium
Lineage: Bacteria
Description: partial 16S ribosomal RNA
Rfam family: Bacterial small subunit ribosomal RNA
Source: RNAcentral
GCAAGUCGAACGAACCCGAUCUUCGGAUCAUAUGGGUGAGUGGCGAACGGGUGAGUAACACGUGAGAAACCUGCCCCAAAGUUCGGGAUAACUCAGGGAAACUUGAGCUAAUACCGGAUGCCCUCCGUUGGUCGAAUGACCGACAGAGGAAAGAUUUAUCGCUUUGGGAGGGUCUCGCGGCCUAUCAGCUUGUUGGUGAGGUAAUGGCUCACCAAGGCAUUGACGGGUAGCUAGUCUGAGAGGACGAAU